CCUUAUUUCUAAAGGCACCUUCCUAUUGAAGACCUUCCUUCACUGAUGGCUCUGGAAAAUGACCUCCGAUCAUCUCCAGACAAGAGGAAAAAACUGGUGCUUGAACUGGGGCUUAUUGGUGGUGCUGACAUCAAAGACACUGUCUGGCUCAUUUUGAAACAGACGAUUAAAAAUGAUCUAGCUAAAACUGUCAGCUGGCGAGGCGUGAAUGGGAAAACAGGUCUUCAAAGCCUGCAGCUGGAGAACGUUGUAACUGAAGCUGUAAGAAGAAACCCAGUAUGUUCCCAGGCCACUGAGAUGGAGGUAGAACGAGUCAUUAGAAGAUGGUUUCAUCUGGCUUGUGAUCGGGAGGGCGGGAG
Long non-coding RNA from Pygocentrus nattereri (red-bellied piranha), 359 nucleotides. RefSeq lists it as uncharacterized. The transcript is spliced from 3 exons. The record is from RefSeq and is a predicted model, not a curated record. NCBI's taxonomy places the organism in Eukaryota, Metazoa, Chordata, Actinopteri, Characiformes, Serrasalmidae.